CCUACGGGUGGCAGCAGUGAGGAAUAUUGGACAAUGGACGCAAGUCUGAACCAGCCAUGCCGCGUGCAGGAAGACGGCUCUAUGAGUUGUAAACUGCUUUUGAACGAGGGUAAACGCAGAUACGCGUAUCUGUCUGAAAGUAUCGUACGAAUAAGGAUCGGCUAACUCCGUGCCAGCAGCCGCGGUAAUCCGGAGGAUUCAAGGGUUAGCCGGAGGUAUUGGGGGGAAAGGGGGCGUAGGAGGGCGGAUAAUUUAGAGGUGAAAUCCCGAGGCUCAACUUCGGAAUUGCCUCUGAAACUGUUCGGCUAGAGACUCUUUGCGGUAGGCGGAAUUUCUAUUGUAGCUGU
RNAcentral lists this ribosomal RNA (347 nucleotides) under uncultured bacterium. Its description in RNAcentral is "partial 16S ribosomal RNA". It matches the Rfam family "Bacterial small subunit ribosomal RNA", at positions 338 to 682 of the family's 1533-position model. The record is from RNAcentral.